RNAcentral lists this long non-coding RNA (813 nucleotides) under Coturnix japonica (Japanese quail). RNAcentral describes it as "lncRNA (ENSCJPG00005007169.1)". Lineage: Eukaryota; Metazoa; Chordata; Aves; Galliformes; Phasianidae. The record is from RNAcentral.
AAUCUUUUGUCAUUUUCCAUUUAUGCUUACACAUGGUAUAAUAAUAAUAAUAAUAAAAGUAAUCAGCUGUAAUUUGGAUAUUCACUUCUGGUUUGGAUCAGUAUAUGGGAAACUGGUAAUCACAGCCUGAGCCUCUGAUUAAUCAGCUGAGGCAAGUGUCGGUCAGCUGUGGGAGCACAGGUGAGGGUAAUUCAGCUGUGCUCCUGGAAGGGGUGGAGCUUGACUCCGCCUGUUCCAAACUUCAUUUAAGGGCUGACCACCACUAAGGCAGCAUCUCUUUGAGAUUGCUCCUCUGUGGAGAUUGGAUAGCCAGCCUCAGCAUUUUCCAGCCAGACUGAAGGCAUCCAUAUUGGUGAGUUUUUCCUAUAGAUAACCUUUUGGAUAUCUAUCACCAUCCUUCUUGUAUUAUUACCAUCUUUUGUAUUAUUCCACCUUACAAUCAGCAUCCCAAUAAUUAGAUCUUUCUUCUGACUUUUUUGGAGAUGUUCAUAAGGCAAGAUGUGGGGAACAGGUGUCAGAUCUCAGAUUUCUUGGGCUAGAGUCAUAGAAGAGUGCUUUUCCUUCAGGUCAAAUCUUGGUCCUCUCAGGUGGUGCAGACAGAAAUUAAUGCAACAAGUGAAAUCAUCUGAAACUUUAUAAAAUCUGGUCCAAAAUGAUUUGCUCUAUUUCUGAAUCACUCAGUGACAAACCUUAAGGUAAAACUUAGUUCUGCUGCUGAAACUUCUUUAUGAAUGGUUUUCAAAACCAUGCCUUCCCUCUUUGUUUAUUAGUGCUCCUUACACAAUAUUGUACCUGGAAAUACUUUUGUUCCCA